CAAAUGACUCUCGGCAACGGAUAUCUCGGCUCACGCAUCGAUGAAGAACGUAGCAAAAUGCGAUACUUGGUGUGAAUUGCAGAAUCCCGUGAACCAUCGAGUUUUUGAACGCAAGUUGCGCCCGAAGCCUUUCGGCUGAGGGCACGUCUGCCUGGGCGUCACAC
This 164-nucleotide ribosomal RNA is filed under the name Ligularia lankongensis. Its description in RNAcentral is "5.8S ribosomal RNA". It matches the Rfam family "5.8S ribosomal RNA". From Rfam's summary of the family: 5.8S ribosomal RNA (5.8S rRNA) is a component of the large subunit of the eukaryotic ribosome. It is transcribed by RNA polymerase I as part of the 45S precursor that also contains 18S and 28S rRNA. The record is from RNAcentral. RNAcentral also lists the same sequence under 1 other name. Lineage: Eukaryota; Viridiplantae; Streptophyta; Magnoliopsida; Asterales; Asteraceae.